RNAcentral lists this ribosomal RNA (495 nucleotides) under uncultured bacterium. Its description in RNAcentral is "partial 16S ribosomal RNA". It matches the Rfam family "Bacterial small subunit ribosomal RNA", at positions 28 to 507 of the family's 1533-position model. The record is from RNAcentral.
GACGAACGCUGGCGGCGUGCCUAAUACAUGCAAGUAGAACGCUGAAGGAGGAGCUUGCUUCUCUGGAUGAGUUGCGAACGGGUGAGUAACGCGUAGGUAACCUGCCUGGUAGCGGGGGAUAACUAUUGGAAACGAUAGCUAAUACCGCAUAAGAGUAGAUGUUGCAUGACAUUUGCUUAAAAGGUGCAAUUGCAUCACUACCAGAUGGACCUGCGUUGUAUUAGCUAGUUGGUGGGGUAACGGCUCACCAAGGCGACGAUACAUAGCCGACCUGAGAGGGUGAUAGGCCACACUGGGACUGAGACACGGCCCAGACACCUACGGGAGGCAGCAGUAGGGAAUCUUCGGCAAUGGACGGAAGUCUGACCGAGCAACGCCGCGUGAGUGAAGAAGGGUUUCGGAUCGUAAAGCUCGGUUGUAAGAGAAGAACGAGUGUGAGAGUGGAAAGUUCACACUGUGACGGUAUCUUACCAGAAAGGGACGGCUAACUACGUG